GUAGGUGGCAAGCGUUGUCCGGAAUUAUUGGGCGUAAAGCGCGCGCAGGUGGUUCUUUAAGUCUGAUGUGAAAGCCCCCGGCUCAACCGGGGAGGGUCAUUGGAAACUGGGGAACUUGAGUGCAGGAGAGGAAAGUGGAAUUCCACGUGUAGCGGUGAAAUGCGUAGAUAUGUGGAGGAACACCAGUGGCGAAGGCGACUUUCUGGCCUGUAACUGACACUGAGGCGCGAAAGCGUGGGGAGCAAACAGGGAUUAGAUACCCUGGUAGUCCACGCCGUAAACGAUGAGUGCUAAGUGUUGGGGGGGUUUCCCGCCCCUCAGUGCUGCAGCUAACGCAUUAAGCACUCCGCAUGGGAGUACGGUCGCAAGACUG
This 373-nucleotide ribosomal RNA is filed under the name uncultured organism. RNAcentral describes it as "partial 16S ribosomal RNA". It matches the Rfam family "Bacterial small subunit ribosomal RNA", at positions 527 to 896 of the family's 1533-position model. The record is from RNAcentral.